UACGGAGGGGGUUAGCGUUGUUCGGAAUUACUGGGCGUAAAGCGCGCGUAGGCGGAUUAGAAAGUUGGGGGUGAAAUCCCGGGGCUCAACCUCGGAACUGCCUCCAAAACUGAUUCACUAGAGUACGAUAGAGGGAGGUAGAAUUCACAGUGUAGCGGUGGAAUGCGUAGAUAUUGUGAAGAAUACCAAUGGCGAAGGCAGCCUCCUGGAUCUGUACUGACGCUGAGGUGCGAAAGUGUGGGGAGCAAACAGG
This 253-nucleotide ribosomal RNA is filed under the name uncultured bacterium. RNAcentral's name for it is "partial 16S ribosomal RNA". It matches the Rfam family "Bacterial small subunit ribosomal RNA", at positions 524 to 776 of the family's 1533-position model. The record is from RNAcentral.